RNAcentral lists this ribosomal RNA (253 nucleotides) under uncultured bacterium. Its description in RNAcentral is "partial 16S ribosomal RNA". It matches the Rfam family "Bacterial small subunit ribosomal RNA", at positions 524 to 776 of the family's 1533-position model. The record is from RNAcentral.
UACGAAGGGGGCUAGCGUUGCUCGGAUUGACUGGGCGUAAAGGGCGCGUAGGCGGUUCGUACAGUCAGACGUGAAAUUCCUGGGCUCAACCUGGGGGCUGCGUUUGAUACGUGCGGGCUUGAGUUCGGAAGAGGGUCGUGGAAUUCCCAGUGUAGAGGUGAAAUUCGUAGAUAUUGGGAAGAACACCGGUGGCGAAGGCGGCUCUCUGGGACGGUACUGACGCUGAGACGCGAAAGCGUGGGGAGCGAACAGG